GACGAACGCUGGCGGCGUGCCUAAUACAUGCAAGUAGAACGCACAGUUUAUACCGUAGCUUGCUACACCAUAAACUGUGAGUUGCGAACGGGUGAGUAACGCGUAGGUAACCUGCCUGGUAGCGGGGGAUAACUAUUGGAAACGAUAGCUAAUACCGCAUCAUAUUAAUUAUUGCAUGAUAAUUGAUUGAAAGAUGCAAUUGCAUCACUACCAGAUGGACCUGCGUUGUAUUAGCUAGUAGGUGAGUUAACGGCUCACCUAGGCGACGAUACAUAGCCGACCUGAGAGGGUGAUCGGCAACACUGGGACUGAGACACGGCCCAGACUCCUACGGGAGGCAGCAGUAGGGAAUCUUCGGCAAUGGACGAAAGUCUGACCGAGCAACGCCGCGUGAGUGAAGAAGGUUGUCGGAUCGUAAAGCUCUGUUGUAAGAGAAGAACGGGUGUGAGAGUGGAAAGUUCACACUGUGACGGUAUCUUACCAGAAAGGGACGGCUAACUACGUG
This 505-nucleotide ribosomal RNA is filed under the name uncultured bacterium. RNAcentral describes it as "partial 16S ribosomal RNA". It matches the Rfam family "Bacterial small subunit ribosomal RNA", at positions 28 to 507 of the family's 1533-position model. The record is from RNAcentral.